GAUGAACGCUGGCGGCGUGCCUAAUACAUGCAAGUCGAGCGAACGGACGAGAAGCUUGCUUCUCUGAUGUUAGCGGCGGACGGGUGAGUAACACGUGGAUCACCUACCUAUAAGACUGGGAUAACUUCGGGAAACCGGAGCUAAUACCGGAUAAUAUUUUGCACCGCAUGGUUCAAAAGUGAAAGACGGUCUUGCUGUCACUUAUCGAUGGAUCCGCGCUGCAUUAGCUAGUUGGUAAGGUAACGGCUUACCAAGGCAACGCUGCAUAGCCGACCUGAGAGGGUGAUCGGCCACACGGGAACGGAGACACGGUCCAGACUCCUACGGGAGGCAGCAGUAGGGAAUCUGCCGCAAUGGGCGAAAGCCUGACGGAGCAACGCCGCGUGAGUGAUGAAGGUCUUCGGAUCGUAAAGCUCUGUUAUUAGGGAAGAACAUAUGUGUAAGUAACUGUGCACAGCGUGACGGUACCGAAUCAGAAAGCCACGGCUAACUACGUG
This 497-nucleotide ribosomal RNA is filed under the name uncultured bacterium. RNAcentral describes it as "partial 16S ribosomal RNA". It matches the Rfam family "Bacterial small subunit ribosomal RNA", at positions 28 to 507 of the family's 1533-position model. The record is from RNAcentral.